GGGGGACCUACCAUGAGUGUGGGCUCCUGAGUAAGGUGUGCUGCACAGCCCUAUGGGAGCACAGCGUGUGCUCCAGAGGCCAAGCAGAAUAAGGAGGGAGUGGCAGCUGGAUGCCAGGUUCCGUGCAGGUUCAGGAGGGAGUGCAGAUGGGAGGGUGAACUGCAGGGCUCUGCCAGGGCCUGAGAAGGUGUGGAUGGUCUGCACUGGUGGUUCUCAACUUGGCAAUUCACUGUUGAAGGAACUAGCAGGACAACUCACUGGAUAUAAAAGAAGUCAACAAGUUUUUGCAGGUAUUUUCCUUGCUGAUUGCUCAGGACCUUCCACCUGUUUCUGAGGCUGCUGGUAUAG
This 348-nucleotide long non-coding RNA is filed under the name Chinchilla lanigera (long-tailed chinchilla). RNAcentral's name for it is "lncRNA (ENSCLAG00000025480.1)". Lineage: Eukaryota; Metazoa; Chordata; Mammalia; Rodentia; Chinchillidae. The record is from RNAcentral.